This 752-nucleotide ribosomal RNA is filed under the name uncultured Neisseriales bacterium. RNAcentral's name for it is "SSU rRNA". It matches the Rfam family "Bacterial small subunit ribosomal RNA", at positions 94 to 842 of the family's 1533-position model. Lineage: Bacteria; Pseudomonadati; Pseudomonadota; Betaproteobacteria; Neisseriales. The record is from RNAcentral.
AGUGGCGAACGGGUGAGUAAUAUAUCGGAACGUACCGAGUAAUGGGGGAUAACUAAUCGAAAGAUUAGCUAAUACCGCAUAUUCUCUGAGGAGGAAAGCAGGGGACCUUCGGGCCUUGCGUUAUUCGAGCGGCCGAUAUCUGAUUAGCUAGUUGGUGGGGUAAAGGCCUACCAAGGCGACGAUCAGUAGCGGGUCUGAGAGGAUGAUCCGCCACACUGGGACUGAGACACGGCCCAGACUCCUACGGGAGGCAGCAGUGGGGAAUUUUGGACAAUGGGCGCAAGCCUGAUCCAGCCAUGCCGCGUGUCUGAAGAAGGCCUUCGGGUUGUAAAGGACUUUUGUCAGGGAAGAAAAGGCUGUUGCUAAUAUCGACAGCUGAUGACGGUACCUGAAGAAUAAGCACCGGCUAACUACGUGCCAGCAGCCGCGGUAAUACGUAGGGUGCGAGCGUUAAUCGGAAUUACUGGGCGUAAAGCGAGCGCAGACGGUUACUUAAGCAGGAUGUGAAAUCCCCGGGCUCAACCUGGGAACUGCGUUCUGAACUGGGUGACUAGAGUGUGUCAGAGGGAGGUAGAGUUCCACGUGUAGCAGUGAAAUGCGUAGAGAUGUGGAGGAAUACCGAUGGCGAAGGCAGCCUCCUGGGAUAACACUGACGUUCAUGCUCGAAAGCGUGGGUAGCAAACAGGAUUAGAUACCCUGGUAGUCCACGCCCUAAACGAUGUCAAUUAGCUGUUGGGCAACUUGAUUGCUUA